GAUGAAGAACGUAGCGAAAUGCGAUACGUAAUGUGAAUUGCAGAAUUCAGUGAAUCAUCGAGUCUUUGAACGCACAUUGCGCCCUCUGGUAUUCCGGAGGGCAUGCCUGUCCGAGCGUCAUUGCUGCCCUCAAGCACGGCUUGUGUGUUGGGCCCCGCCCCCCGAUCCCGGGGGGCGGGCCCGAAAGGCAGCGGCGGCACCGCGUCCGGUCCUCGAGCGUAUGGGGCUUUGCCACCCGCUCUGUAGGCCCGGCCGGCGCCUGCCGAUCAACCAAACUUUUUUCCAGGUUGACCUCGGAUCAGGUAGGGAUACCCGCUGAACUUAAGCAUAUCAAUAAGCGGAGGA
RNAcentral lists this unclassified non-coding RNA (345 nucleotides) under soil metagenome. RNAcentral describes it as "partial contains 5.8S ribosomal RNA, internal transcribed spacer 2, and large subunit ribosomal RNA". The stretch from base 1 to 120 matches the Rfam family "5.8S ribosomal RNA", at positions 35 to 154 of the family's 154-position model. The record is from RNAcentral.